AUGCUUUAAGUGAAGGGAAAUAUCCGUGUCGGGGUAAACUACGGCUUCCGGAUUCCUGGAUAGAGCAUCUCAUAGGAAAGUACCGUUAGAAAGAUCAACUCGUAAUUGAUUGAGUAUAAAUAACCUCUGGAGGGAGGUCGCGGGAAACUAUGAUGAAACUCCUAGAAGUGGGCGUGCCUGGCAGAAGGAGUAGGUCGAAAACUGGUUGCUGAAGCAGCGUAAGCUCCCUGAUGUAAACUCCCUGAAGUUAUCAUAGUAAUACAUCAAAGCAAUAUGAAAGUUGGCCAGUAUAAAUAAAUUCCCUGUUAACGGAAAGAGGGUUUGCAAAUCCGACGUCGUGAGACACGGACCUCAUGGGAAGAAGAAGCAACUUUAGUGUUAGAGAGAUACUGUUAAUGAGCUCUAACAUGUUCAAAUAUUUUAUUUAAG
This 429-nucleotide non-coding RNA is filed under the name unclassified sequences. RNAcentral describes it as "HOLDH RNA". It matches the Rfam family "HOLDH RNA". From Rfam's summary of the family: Environmental (human tongue dorsum, human supragingival plaque). The record is from Rfam by way of RNAcentral.